Long non-coding RNA from Leopardus geoffroyi (Geoffroy's cat), 1304 nucleotides. RefSeq lists it as uncharacterized. NCBI's taxonomy places the organism in Eukaryota, Metazoa, Chordata, Mammalia, Carnivora, Felidae. The transcript has 2 exons. The record is from RefSeq and is a predicted model, not a curated record.
GGACUUGAUGCCAUUCAUUUUCUCUCCCCCAAAAGAUUAUUCUAACCAUUGUAUGGAUUGAAUUAUGUCUCCCAAAAAAGAAAUGCUAGAGUCCUAACCCAUGGUACCUUAAUAUGUGACCUUAUUUGGAGAUAAGGUCUUUACACAAGUGAUCAAGUUAUAAUGAGUCACUAGGUGGGCCUUAAUCUAAUGUGAAUGGUGUCUUUAUAAAAUGGGGAGAUUUGGAACCAGACAUUCAUAGAAGAUGGUGUGGAGAGACACAGGGAGAGAUGCUCAUCUAUAGGCAAGGAGAGAAGACCUCAGAAGGAGCCAACCUCAGUGACAUCUUGACUUUGGACUACUAGCUCCCAUAGCUACAAAACGAUAAAUUGCUGUUGUUUAACCCACCUUGUUUGUGACGUUGUGUUACAGCAGCCCUAGCAAACUAAAACAAUCAUUUAUUCCAUCCCAGUUUAUUAAUCCAGCUCUUUGUGCCAUAGCCUCUGAGCACCUUUCCACGGAAGAAAAUCUUAGCUUUAGGAGAAUGUCAGGUUCAUUUAUGCUAAACAGACAAUAAUUUUCUAACCUCCUAAUAGUAAGUAUUAAGAGAUUCUAAAACAUAACUGUUGCUUUUUUUCUCCCCUUAUUUCUGAAUUUAGAAAAAAUAAUCUCAUUCGAAAUGUCGUUUUCAUAUAUGUUAGCAAGCCAAUUAAAAUAUAGUCUUCUGGGUUUUGCCUGGAUUGUCGUAAUAAAGUUAAUUAUGAACCCAACACCCUGACUUUCUAAGUUUCCUCUUCUCAAAUCAAGCUGGCAGUUCUGUGAGUGUAAAAGCACCGAAUGGUCAUUACCAGUGUGUGAUGAAAUCAUCGAUGAAGAGUUGACAGUUAGUAAGGCAGAGUAAUGGUACUCAGAUAUUUUGUUUUCUCCUUGUGACAUGAGCAAGAUCAUAAUUACAGCAUAUUUCAAAUCAUUGCUUACAGAGACAUGACUCACUCCAUUAUACAGUACUUCGUUGGGGCCCCAGCCAUGGAUAGAGACAAAUAUCUUCCCGUCCAUGGUUUUCUCCGAGACAGUGGGUCUCCAGCGUCAGAGGCUACAGUGACUCCAAUCGCAAUCAUCCACCUGCAUCCAGCAACUCCUUAGACAUUAGAGUUCCCCAAAGUGUCUUCCUUCUCUUCUUGUCUUUCCAUUUGUUCCUGCUGGGCAAUUACCACCCAUUCCCUGGGCUCCAACAGAUAUUGAUGACUCCCACAACUGCAUCUCCUCUUCCCAACUGCCUCCUCAACUCCAGACCUAUCUCACGAUUACAAAAAACAUUACUGACU